GAUGAACGCUGGCGGCGUGCUUAACACAUGCAAGUCGAACGGGAAACCUUUUAAAGAAGCUUCGGCAAAUUUAGCUGGUUUCUAGUGGCGGACGGGUGAGUAACGCGUGGGUAACCUGCCUUGUACAGGGGGAUAACAGUCAGAAAUGACUGCUAAUACCGCAUAAGCGCACAGGACCGCAUGGUCCAGUGUGAAAAACUCCGGUGGUAUAAGAUGGACCCGCGUUGGAUUAGCUAGUUGGUGGGGUAACGGCCUACCAAGGCGACGAUCCAUAGCCGGCCUGAGAGGGUGAACGGCCACAUUGGGACUGAGACACGGCCCAGACUCCUACGGGAGGCAGCAGUGGGGAAUAUUGCACAAUGGGGGAGACCCUGAUGCAGCGACGCCGCGUAAAGGAAGAAGUAUCUCGGUAUGUAAACUUCUAUCAGCAGGGAAGAA
This 438-nucleotide ribosomal RNA is filed under the name uncultured bacterium. RNAcentral describes it as "bacterial SSU rRNA". It matches the Rfam family "Bacterial small subunit ribosomal RNA", at positions 28 to 449 of the family's 1533-position model. The record is from RNAcentral.